UUCCCUGUAGCUCAGUGGUAGAGCUUCUGUUUGCGUGCAGAAGGUCCCAGGUUCAAUCCCCGUCAUCUCUGGAUAGGAAU
Molecule: non-coding RNA, 80 nt
Organism: Podarcis lilfordi (Lilford's wall lizard)
Lineage: Eukaryota; Metazoa; Chordata; Lepidosauria; Squamata; Lacertidae
Source: the annotation of a GenBank genome assembly